AUUGAACGCUGGCGGCAGGCCUAACACAUGCAAGUCGAACGGUAACAGGAAGAAGCUUGCUUCUUUGCUGACGAGUGGCGGACGGGUGAGUAAUGUCUGGGAAACUGCCUGAUGGAGGGGGAUAACUACUGGAAACGGUAGCUAAUACCGCAUAAUGUCGCAAGACCAAAGAGGGGGGCCUUCGGGCCUCUUGCCAUCGGAUGUGCCCAGAUGGGAUUAGCUAGUAGGUGGGGUACCGGCUCACCUAGGCGACGAUCCCCAGCUGGUCUGAGAGGAUGACCCGCCACACGGGAACGUAGACACGGUCCAGACUCCUACGGGAGGCCGCAGUGGGGAAUAUUGCACAAUGGGCGCAAGCCUGAUGCAGCGAUGCCGCGUGUAUGAAGAAGGCCUUCGGGUUGUAAAGUACUUUCAGCGGGGAGGAAGGGAGUAAAGUUAAUACCUUUGCUUAUUGACGUUACCCGCAGAAGAAGCACCGGCUAACUCCGUG
This 490-nucleotide ribosomal RNA is filed under the name uncultured bacterium. RNAcentral's name for it is "partial 16S ribosomal RNA". It matches the Rfam family "Bacterial small subunit ribosomal RNA", at positions 30 to 507 of the family's 1533-position model. The record is from RNAcentral.